UACAUAUCAAUACAUACAGAAACUAUCUAGGUCAAAUAGGGGAGAGGUGUUGCUUUAUCUGUUGUUUAAACCAGGUUUGCUGUUUAUUUGAGAAAUAUGAGAUGGAAUGGAGUUCCAUGCAAUAAUGGCUCUAUAUAAAACUACGCUUUCUUGCAUUUAUUCUGGAUUUAGGGACUGUGAAAAGACUGGUGGUCCUGGUGGCAUGUCUGGUGGGCUCUCAACCACACAGCUGGACAAUAAUCAAGAGAAGACUAGAGCCUGCAGGACUUGUUUUUUGGAGUGUGGUGUCAAAAAAGCAGAGCAUCUCUUUAUUACAGACAGACCUCUCCUAAAUCUUUACAACCAUUGAAUCGUUAUGUUUUGACCAUGACAGUUUACAAUCUAAGGUAACACCAAGUAAUUUAGUCUCCUCAACUUGUUCAACAGCCACACCAGUCAAUACCAGAUUCAGCUGAGGUCUAGAAUGCCUCAAUAGAGUGAUUAUUGGACGACACUACAACUCCUCAUAACAGAUACGUGUAUCACCUCAAAUAUAACGACUCAUACUACAUUCGGUUACAUUCUACUAUUGUUUACAUAUUGUGCGUCAUGUUCAAUGGGCCAAGAGAAUGAAAAUACAAGCGACAGAACCUAGCAACACUUUCCUGUGGAUAUCUCCAACUCCUACCGCCAAAAGGACCAGCAGCAUGUACAACCGGUAAAGUAAGUGUAAAUACCAUUUUAUUCCACAUUCUGUCUUGUAGAGACUGUCUUUUUUAGUGCGACUUCAGUCAGACAGAAAAUCCAUGGAGUAACCAUGAUAACAGUCUGAUGUUUAGGCAAGCCCCAAGACAGAGCCUCUCCAACCCUAAGUUGUCCAACCAUCCCUACUUCACCCUGGAGAGACUGGGGCCUGUGCUUAGACCGCUGGCAGGUGGAGGUACAGUCAGAGGCCUGAACAGCGACUCCGUCAACUCUCUAUCGGUUUCUUGCUUGUAGUCUUGUUUUAUUCUCGCUCUGAACUGCUGCUACUUCAUGUAGUAGGUGUAUGGAUGCUCCGUUUGUGUAACGGCAUUGUUGUCAUCUCCUCUUUCUCUAAUGUUUAUCUUCACUGAUACGCAAGUAUUUUAAAGUGUGCCCGACAACUGAUGUAAAAGGGCUUUAUAAAUACAUUUGAUUGUAUGCAAGGGUUUAUACUGCAUGUAUUGGUUAUCUAAUCUUUCUCACUGGUAGGGUUCUGUUUUUUUCCCAGAUGGUUUCACUACGACAGGUGAUGAUACCAGGCAAGUAAUACGCCAGUCAUCUGACGAUUUCACUGUCAAUAUUUUUACUUUUCUUCUGACCAACACGUUCCUCGCCUUUCCCACCUUCCCCCGUUCUCCCCCAGUGGACAGUGUGGGACUUGAGUUUAAUCAGUCGUCUGUGGUGGAUCGUGGACUUGUGCAACCUGUGGUUAUACUGGACCUCGCUGAGGUGCACUGGGGCCAGGCUGAAGAUCUAGGAUGAUCCGAGUCCAGUAUUAGCAGGAGAGGAGAUAAGCAGAUUCCACUCUAUACUGGCUCACUUCUGAGUGGCUCUGUCUGUCGGCGCACUACAGAUAUGCACCUUCUGACGGUCUGCAUGGGAAUCAGUUUUGCCUUUUCACUUCUCACAAACAAAACAUCUGCCAAAUCAAUAUCCACAAUAAUCAAAAUAAGAGAUGGACGGAUGGGAAUAGCAAAAGGAGACUUUGACCUGACCUGAUCCUCGGCCAAAGAACUUAUAGAUUUGCGCUGCUUUUAAAUUAUGACAAGUAACGGGGACUCCAAAUGAUGAUGGAUCACUGUUCGUUUGUUGUUCUAAUGAUAAUAUACACAGUUUGCAUUGAUACAAUUUCAGUUGCUGCCCUUUGAAAUGUUGCUUGAGUACUAAUAUUGUAAUAAAAAAAAGUUUCAAGACACUCUUGAGCCUGGUCAAAGUAGUGCACGAAAUAGGGAAUAGAGUGCCAUCACUAACGGCUUCAUUAGACAAAACAAAUAUUUGUUAUUCAUUACUUCGUCUGCAGUGACUUCAGGCAGAUCAAACAACUGGUUUCAUCAUUAUAGGUGGUUUGUAGUUCAGGUGCAACAGUUUUCCAGCUAAAGAAACAACUAGCUACAAAAUAAAAAGCUAAAAUCUCAUCGACCCAAAAUUGGUAAAAAAAUAAUGAUAAAUAAGAUGAACAAAAUAAAAAAUGUAUGUGCCUUUGAGUGAGGGAAACAGUGGACAUCAUCAUCUCUGUAGAUGUUAUGGAUAAUCUACCUUGACUGCCACGUACAAAACCCCCUAAAACCUUUAUAAAAAAGAAAACAAGAGACGUCUUUACCUAUUCAACAUACCACAGAUAAUAGAAUGACAUCUGUCUUUACACUAAGUGGUAGGAUACAUCCAUAGUGAGAGAUAGAGGACUUUAGUGCCUAAAAGCCCAUUUUAUCAUGGGCAGUGCCAUUGAGGACUUUUACCAUUUUGAAGUAGUCAACUGGGUGGGACUUCCUAUGGGUUAAGGAAGGAUCACAUAAUUCCAUCCAGGUCACCAGGAGGGAUCAGCCAAUGAAGUAUACGCAUGAGCAAACAUUCCAGAACUGCAGGUAAACUGCAGGUAAAUUGCCAACCUUGGCUUUAAACCUGUUUAAACCUGUUCAUACACACUCCAGCUGUCAAUAUACACCCUUUCAGUUUGUUUGCCAACUCAUGGUAGAAGAAAAUUGACUACUUCAAAAUGGAGAUGGACUCAAUGGGCUGCCCAUGCCCUCACAGAUGCCAUAAUGGGACAGAUACAAUGAUGCGAUGUCUAUCUAAGACUAUGGAUUAAACUAGUUAAG
Molecule: non-coding RNA, 2819 nt
Organism: Oncorhynchus mykiss (rainbow trout)
Lineage: Eukaryota; Metazoa; Chordata; Actinopteri; Salmoniformes; Salmonidae
Source: RefSeq, a predicted model, not a curated record